GAUGAAGAACGUAGCGAAAUGCGAUAAGUAGUGUGAAUUGCAGAAUUCAGUGAAUCAUCGAAUCUUUGAACGCACAUUGCGCCCCUUGGUACUCCAUGGGGCAUGCCUGUUCGAGCGUCAUUUACACCCUCAAGCUCAGCUUGGUGUUGGGCGUCUGUCCCGCUUCGUGCGCGGACUCGCCUCAAAUGCAUUGGCAGCGGUCUUGCCAGCUUCUCGCGCAGCACAUUGUGCUUCUAGAGGCUUUGGCGGAUCGGCGUCCAUCAAGUACACCCACAGUUUGACCUCGGAUCAGGUAGGGAUACCCGCUGAACUUAAGCAUAUCAAUAAGCGGAGGA
This 335-nucleotide unclassified non-coding RNA is filed under the name soil metagenome. RNAcentral's name for it is "partial contains 5.8S ribosomal RNA, internal transcribed spacer 2, and large subunit ribosomal RNA". The stretch from base 1 to 120 matches the Rfam family "5.8S ribosomal RNA", at positions 35 to 154 of the family's 154-position model. The record is from RNAcentral.